Molecule: ribosomal RNA, 438 nt
Filed under: Hebeloma crustuliniforme
Lineage: Eukaryota; Fungi; Basidiomycota; Agaricomycetes; Agaricales; Hymenogastraceae
Description: partial large subunit ribosomal RNA
Rfam family: Bacterial large subunit ribosomal RNA
Source: RNAcentral
GUACCAAAAAAAAUUAUUCAAAAGUAGUUAAAAAAAUUUUUAAUUUUAAUUUAAUUAUGAGAAAUAAUAAUUAAUUAAUUAUAAAAAUACUAUUUAUUUAUUAUUUUUUUUGGUGGCACAGAAUCGGAGGCCCCGACUGUUUACUAAAAACACAACACAGUGCAAUCAUUAGUAUGGUAGUAUACUGUGUGAAAUUUGCCCGAUGCCAUUAAUAUAAAAGAAGUUAUGGAUUAUUUAUAAUCUUGUGACUGAUUGAAAGUCUGGUUAAUAGCGGUCUUAACUAUGAGGAUCCUAAGGUAGCAAAAUCAGUUGGCCAUUAAAUGUGGUCCGGUAUCAAUAAUGUAACGAUGGUCUCACUGUCUCUACAACUUGCUCAGUGAAAUUGAAUUACGCGUGCAGAUGCGCGUUGCCUCCAGGGGGACGGGAAGACCCUAUGCA